Molecule: ribosomal RNA, 474 nt
Filed under: uncultured bacterium
Lineage: Bacteria
Description: bacterial SSU rRNA
Rfam family: Bacterial small subunit ribosomal RNA
Source: RNAcentral
UGGCUCAGGACGAACGCUGGCGGCGCGCCUAACACAUGCAAGUCGAACGAGAGAGAGGGAGCUUGCUUCCUCGAUCGAGUGGCGAACGGGUGAGUAACGCGUGAGGAACCUGCCUCAAAGAGGGGGACAACAGUUGGAAACGACUGCUAAUACCGCAUAAGCCCACGACCCGGCAUCGGGAAGAGGGAAAAGGAGCAAUCCGCUUUGAGAUGGCCUCGCGUCCGAUUAGCUAGUUGGUGAGGUAACGGCCCACCAAGGCGACGAUCGGUAGCCGGACUGAGAGGUUGAACGGCCACAUUGGGACUGAGACACGGCCCAAACUCCUACGGGAGGCAGCAGUGGGGAAUAUUGCACAAUGGGGGAAACCCUGAUGCAGCGACGCCGCGUGAGCGAAGAAGUAUUUCGGUAUGUAAAGCUCUGUCAGCAGGGAAGAUAAUGACGGUACCUGACCAAGAAGCCCCGGCUAACUACGUG